Molecule: long non-coding RNA, 163 nt
Organism: Sphaeramia orbicularis (orbiculate cardinalfish)
Lineage: Eukaryota; Metazoa; Chordata; Actinopteri; Kurtiformes; Apogonidae
Exons: 3
Source: RefSeq, a predicted model, not a curated record
UUUAGACUUUUAGAUUAAUAGUGUUUUCACACCUGGAUUGAUUGGAGCCAUUGUUCCGAAACAAGUCUUUGGCUCGGUUCGAUUGGACAUAUGUGAAAGCAGUAAUCGCGCUCCCUUCCGGAACAAAACAACUGAGCUGAGACUGCUUGGAGGAGGUGGUCUC